UGCCUUCAGAUUAAAAAUUGAAGGUCAAUCUGCCCAGUGAACUAAAUAAUAAUUACAAAAUUUCAACGGCCGCGGUAUUCCUGACCGUGCUAAGGUAGCACAAUCAUGAGCCUCUUAAUUAGGGGAUAGUAUGAAUGAAUCAACAAGAUAUAUGCUGUCUCUUUUUUGCAUAUUGAAAUUUAGCUCUAGGUGAAAACUCCUAGAUUACUAAUAAAGACAGAAAGACCCUAUAAACUUCUACCAUAAUAUUUUAUAAAUACAAAGGUAUUUAAUUGGGGCGAUUCUAAGUAAAAAACACUUAAUACAUCCAGAGAAAUAUCUCAUCAAAUCUAUCUAAUAGCACACAAGUAAGCUACUAUAGGGAUAACAGGCUAAUACUUCUCAAGAGCACAUAUCAACAGAAGUGCUUAGCACCUCGAUGUUGGCUUAAGGAUCCCAAUUUACGCAAAAGUAAAAAAGGGGGGUUUGUUCAACCUUUAAUUCCUU
This 486-nucleotide ribosomal RNA is filed under the name Syllis ehlersioides. RNAcentral describes it as "partial 16S ribosomal RNA". It matches the Rfam family "Bacterial large subunit ribosomal RNA", at positions 1829 to 2597 of the family's 2925-position model. The record is from RNAcentral. Lineage: Eukaryota; Metazoa; Annelida; Polychaeta; Phyllodocida; Syllidae.